CUCAACUCGGAAACGGCAUUGAAUACUACCUUGCUUGAGGGUCGGAAGGGGGACUGGAAUUCUCGGUGUAGCAGUGAAAUGCGUAGAUAUCGAGAGGAACACCAGUGGCGAAGGCGAGUCCCUGGACGACUCCUGACACCGAGGCACGAAAGCUAGGGGAGCAAACAGGAUUAGAUACCCUGGUAGUCCUAGCCGUAAACGGUGCACAUUUGCUGUGAGCGGAUUCGACCCCGUUCGUGGCGUAGCUAACGCGUUAAAUGUGCCGCCUGGGGAGUACGGUCGCAAGAUUAAAACUCAAAGAAAUUGACGGGGGCCUGCACAAGCGGUGGAGUAUGUGGCUUAAUUCGAUGCAACGCGAAGAACCUUACCUGGCCUUGACAUGCAAGUGGUAGAAACCUGAAAGGGCGACGACCCCGCAAGGGGAGCU
This 427-nucleotide ribosomal RNA is filed under the name uncultured Verrucomicrobiota bacterium. Its description in RNAcentral is "bacterial SSU rRNA". It matches the Rfam family "Bacterial small subunit ribosomal RNA", at positions 608 to 1029 of the family's 1533-position model. Lineage: Bacteria; Pseudomonadati; Verrucomicrobiota. The record is from RNAcentral.